This 274-nucleotide ribosomal RNA is filed under the name bacterium L6(2011). Its description in RNAcentral is "partial 16S ribosomal RNA". It matches the Rfam family "Bacterial small subunit ribosomal RNA", at positions 1004 to 1279 of the family's 1533-position model. The record is from RNAcentral.
AGAUUAGACGUUCCCUUCGGGGACAUGGAUACAGGUGGUGCAUCUUUGUCGUCAGCUCGUGUCGUGAGAUGUUGGGUUAAGUCCCGCAACGAGCGCAACCCUUAUUAUCAGUUGCCAGCAUUAAGUUGGGCACUCUGGUGAGACUGCCGGUGACAAACCGGAGGAAGGUGGGGAUGACGUCCAAUCAUCAUGCCCCUUAUGACCUGGGCUACACACGUGCUACAAUGGAUGGUACAACGAGGUGCGAACUCGCGAGAGUAAGCUAAUCUCUUAA